AUCCUUUUUUGGUUCAUAAGCAUAAUGAUUGGGAAUUCAUGCCAUUGCAUGGUGUGUGCCGCCCAUUAAACCUUGUUACAACAUUGGCACAUUAACCAUCUGACA
This is a small nucleolar RNA of Peromyscus maniculatus bairdii (prairie deer mouse), 105 nucleotides long. RefSeq annotates it as small nucleolar RNA U13. The record is from RefSeq and is a predicted model, not a curated record. Lineage: Eukaryota; Metazoa; Chordata; Mammalia; Rodentia; Cricetidae.